AGUGCCGUAGUUAACACAAUAAGCACUCCGCCUGGGGAGUACGGUCGCAAGACUGAAACUCAAAGGAAUUGACGGGGGCCCGCACAAGCGGUGGAGUAUGUGGUUUAAUUCGACGCAACGCGAAGAACCUUACCAGGGCUUGACAUCGCGUGAAAGCUCUAGAGAUAGAGACCUCUACUUCGGUAGACACGUAGACAGGUGGUGCAUGGUUGUCGUCAGCUCGUGUCGUGAGAUGUUGGGUUAAGUCCCGCAACGAGCGCAACCCCUAAGAUUAGUUGCCAGCACGUAAAGGUGGGAACUCUAAUGUGACUGCCGUUGACAAAACGGAGGAAGGUGGG
This 338-nucleotide ribosomal RNA is filed under the name Desulforamulus aquiferis. RNAcentral describes it as "bacterial SSU rRNA". It matches the Rfam family "Bacterial small subunit ribosomal RNA", at positions 842 to 1177 of the family's 1533-position model. Lineage: Bacteria; Bacillati; Bacillota; Clostridia; Eubacteriales; Peptococcaceae. The record is from RNAcentral.